GCGUGGGUCGGCCCACUGCGUACUGGAACCAGUGGGCUGGGGGACACCGCCGCCUCAAUCCCCGCGGGCGGCGGACAGGGCCCGGGAGGCGAACUGCGCCUCCCGGUCCGUG
RNAcentral lists this non-coding RNA (112 nucleotides) under Streptomyces pristinaespiralis ATCC 25486. Its description in RNAcentral is "Streptomyces RNA 4115". It matches the Rfam family "Streptomyces RNA 4115". From Rfam's summary of the family: Identified by deep sequencing of transcriptome at the end of exponential growth phase. Sequencing size consistent with notrthern blot size. The record is from Rfam by way of RNAcentral. Lineage: Bacteria; Bacillati; Actinomycetota; Actinomycetes; Kitasatosporales; Streptomycetaceae.